GUCUGGGUGGCUCAGUUGGUUAAGUGUCUGACUUCAGCUCAGGUCCUGAUCUCAACGGUUCGUGAGUUCGAGUCCCUCCUCAGGUG
This 86-nucleotide transfer RNA is filed under the name Felis catus (domestic cat). It matches the Rfam family "tRNA". Rfam says of the family: Transfer RNA (tRNA) molecules are approximately 80 nucleotides in length. The record is from Rfam by way of RNAcentral. Lineage: Eukaryota; Metazoa; Chordata; Mammalia; Carnivora; Felidae.